Molecule: ribosomal RNA, 496 nt
Filed under: uncultured bacterium
Lineage: Bacteria
Description: partial 16S ribosomal RNA
Rfam family: Bacterial small subunit ribosomal RNA
Source: RNAcentral
AUGCACGCUGGCGGCGUGCCUCAUCCAUGCAAGUCGAGCGAACGGACGAGAAGCUUGCUUUUCUGAUGUUAGCGGCGGACGGGUGAGUAACACGUGGAUAACCUACCUAUAAGACUGGGAUAACUUCGGGAAACCGGAGCUAAUACCGGAUAAUAUUUUGAACCGCAUGGUUCAAAAGUGAAAGACGGCCUUGCUGUCACUUAUAGAUGGAUCCGCGCUGCAUUAGCUAGUUGGUAAGGUAACGGCUUACCAAGGCAACGAUGCAUAGCCGACCUGAGAGGGUGAUCGGCCACACUGGAACUGAGACACGGUCCAGACUCCUACGGGAGGCAGCAGUAGGGAAUCUUCCGCAAUGGGCGAAAGCCUGACGGAGCAACGCCGCGUGAGUGAUGAAGGUCUUCGGAUCGUAAAACUCUGUUAUUAGGGAAGAACAUAUGUGUAAGUAACUGUGCACAUCUUGACGGUACCUAAUCAGAAAGCCACGGCUAACUACGUG